UUGAUCAUGGCUCAGAUUGAACGCUGGCGGCAGGCCUAACACAUGCAAGUCGAACGGAAACAUGUCUAGCUUGCUAGAUGAUGUCGAGUGGCGGACGGGUGAGUAAUACUUAGGAACAUGCCUUUGGGUGGGGGAUAACUAUUGGAAACGAUAGCUAAUACCGCAUAACGUCUACGGACCAAAGGGGGCUUCGGCUCCCGCCCAGAGAGUGGCCUAAGCGAGAUUAGCUUGUUGGUGAGGUAAAGGCUCACCAAGGCGACGAUCUCUAGCUGUUCUGAGAGGAAGAUCAGCCACACUGGAACUGAGACACGGUCCAGACUCCUACGGGAGGCAGCAGUGGGGAAUAUUGCACAAU
Molecule: ribosomal RNA, 355 nt
Filed under: gamma proteobacterium R2A9
Lineage: Bacteria; Pseudomonadati; Pseudomonadota; Gammaproteobacteria
Description: bacterial SSU rRNA
Rfam family: Bacterial small subunit ribosomal RNA
Source: RNAcentral